ACCUGGUUGAUCCUGCCAGUAGUCAUACGCUUGUCUCAAAGAUUAAGCCAUGCAUGUCUAAGUAUAAAGGUUACAUACAAUGAAACUGCGAAUGGCUCAUUCAAACAGUUAUAGUUUAUUUGGAUUAAAAAAACAUUUGUUUAAAUGGAUAACCGUAGUAAUUCUAGGGCUAAUACAUGCGUUACGGGGGACUUUUCGGAACCCCAGUAUUUAUUAGAUUUCAAACCAAUAUUCCGCAAGGUCUACUGAGAUGAUUCAUGAUAACUGAUCGGAUUGCUGGUCUACCGGCAAUAAGUCAUUCAUGUUUCUGCCCCAUCAGCUUGAUGGUAGUGUAUUGGACAACCAUGGCAUUCACGGGUAUCGGGGGAUUAGGGUUCGAUUCCGGAGAGGGAGCCUGAGAAACGGCUACCACUUCUACGGAAGGCAGCAGGCGCGAAAAUUAUCCAAUCCUGAUUCAGGGAGGUAGUGAAAGAAAUAAUGAACUAGGAUUUAUCCUGGGGUCACAAUGGGCUUGAUUUGCAAACUUUAUUUAGCGAGGAACAAUUGGAGGGCAAGUCUGGUGCCAGCAGCCGCGGUAAUUCCAGCUCCAAUAGUGUAUAUUAAUGUUCCUGCAGUUAUUCGAUGCUCGUAGUUGGAUUUCUGGGGGCUGAGAUCGGAGGGUGGCCAAGGUCACCGCCGAACUCUUCCUCCAUCCACCUGUUAACGUCGCUCCGGGAUUCGUUUCUCGGCUUCGGGCUCAGGUACUUUACCCUUUCUAUAUAUUUAUUUUUUUGAGUAAAUUAUAGUGUUUCAGGCAGGCGUGCGCCGGAAUACUUUAGCAUGGAAUAAUCGAAUUGGACCGUGUAUUCUUAUAGAAUUCUUCCUUAUUUGUUGGUUUCAAGGACACGGAAAUGGUUAAUAGGGAUAGUGUUUUAGGGGAGCAUUAGUAUUUAAUUUCCAGAGUGAAAUUCUUUGAAAUAUUAAAGACUAACUUAUGCGAAAGCAUUUAUUUUUGCCAAUAAUGUUUUCAUUAAUCUUGAACGAAAGUUAGGGGAUCAAAGACGAUCAGAUACCGUCCUAGUCUUACCCAUAAACGUUCCCGACUAGGGAUCGGAGGGCGUCCACAUUCCCCCUUCGCCCCCUUACGAGAAAUCAAAGUCUUUGGGUUCUGGGGGUAGUAUGGUCGCAAGGCUGAAACUUAAA
Molecule: ribosomal RNA, 1182 nt
Filed under: uncultured Euplotida
Lineage: Eukaryota; Ciliophora; Spirotrichea
Description: SSU rRNA
Rfam family: Eukaryotic small subunit ribosomal RNA
Source: RNAcentral